AGAGUUUGAUCCUGGCUCAGAACGAACGCUGGCGGCGUGCUUAACACAUGCAAGUCGAACGAGAAAGUUUCCUUCGGGAAACGAGUAGAGUGGCGCACGGGUGAGUAACGCGUAGGUAAUCUACCCUAAUAUUUGGGAUAACAUUGGGAAACUGGUGCUAAUACCGAAUACCCUUCUUUUCUGCCGGGUUAAGGAGGAAAGGUGGCCUCUUCAUGAAAGCUACCGUAUAAGGAUGAGCCUGCGUACCAUUAGCUAGUAGGUGGGGUAAUGGCCCACCUAGGCGACGAUGGUUAGCGGGUCUGAGAGGAUGAUCCGCCACACUGGAACUGGAACACGGACCAGACUCCUACGGGAGGCAGCAGUGAGGAAUAUUGCGCAAUGGGGGAAACCCUGACGCAGCGACGCCGCGUGAGUGAGGAAGGUUUUCGGAUCGUAAAGCUCUGUCAGAAGGGAAGAAGUGUUAUACAGUUAAUACCUGUAUAAUUUGACGGUACCUUCAGAGAAGCACCGCUAACU
Molecule: ribosomal RNA, 516 nt
Filed under: uncultured bacterium
Lineage: Bacteria
Description: bacterial SSU rRNA
Rfam family: Bacterial small subunit ribosomal RNA
Source: RNAcentral